RNAcentral lists this ribosomal RNA (633 nucleotides) under Grasseiana sp. 2132_02. Its description in RNAcentral is "eukaryotic LSU rRNA". It matches the Rfam family "Eukaryotic large subunit ribosomal RNA", at positions 599 to 966 of the family's 3401-position model. The record is from RNAcentral. Lineage: Eukaryota; Metazoa; Arthropoda; Insecta; Hymenoptera; Pteromalidae.
CCUACGGCCGGUUGGUCGACUGUCGCGUCACGUCUACUGUGCACGCGGCAGACCAUCGGUUGCCCGGCCGGCUGCCCGGCGGUAUAGAUCGCUAUAAAACGGUACUGGGCCGCAUUAAUUGCGUUCUGGCUCGUCGACAGGCACGUCUCGCUCGGAUUUACGGACCUAGCGCCGUUGCCGGGUGCUUGGGCUGGCCGUUAGUCGACGAUGUCCUCGGACUGGCUCUUACAUUCGAACGGAUUUACCGGUCGGCGACGCUACUGCUUUGGGUACUUUCAGGACCCGUCUUGAAACACGGACCAAGGAGUCUAACAUGUGCGCGAGUCAUUGGGACUUGUUUAAGCCUAAAGGCGCAAUGAAAGUGAAGGUCGACUUUGCGUCGACCGAGGGAGGAUGACUCUCGUCACGAUGUGAGUCCGCACUCCCGGGGCGUCUCGUGCUCAUUGCGAGCAGAGGCGCACCCAGAGCGUACACGUUGGGACCCGAAAGAUGGUGAACUAUGCCUGGUCAGGACGAAGUCAGGGGAAACCCUGAUGGAGGUCCGUAGCGAUUCUGACGUGCAAAUCGAUCGUCGGAACUGGGUAUAGGGGCGAAAGACUAAUCGAACCAUCUAGUAGCUGGUUCCCUCCGAAG